Long non-coding RNA from Homo sapiens (human), 326 nucleotides. The record is from Ensembl. Lineage: Eukaryota; Metazoa; Chordata; Mammalia; Primates; Hominidae.
UUUCAACCCCCAACCCCACCCCCAGGAAGAUGAAAGCAAGGCAAACUCCCGAGCCACAACUACCUCAUCUACAAAGUGGGCUACCUUCCUCUCGCAGGGCAGCAGCUCACCAGGGCCUGGGCUCGGAGGCCAGACCAGCUUCCCUUGCUGCGAAGCUGGGAGCAUCCUACUGUGAUGGGGGUGUGGCUGACCCUCUCUGGGCACAUAUCCUACCCUUCCUCCUCCUUCACAGCCUGCUUAAGGAGGACUGGGAUCAUUAGGCAGAUCCAAACUGUGGUUUGGAGCUUUCGGGAAAACAAGCCCCAUCAAUGCAAUUUCCUUGUUAA